GACGAACGCUGGCGGCGUGCUUAACACAUGCAAGUCGAGCGGAGCGGCGAACGGGUGCGUAACGCGUGAGUAACUGCCCCCCUCUCUGGGAUACCAGUUGAAAACGGCUGCUCAUACCGGAUAGUGGGGGAUGACUCGCGUCCUCUCAGCUUGUUGGUGGGGUAGUGGCCUACCAAGGGGACGACGGGUAGCCGGCCUGGGCAGGCGACCGGCCACAGUGGGCGGAGAGACGGCGCAAACUCCUACGUGAGGCAGCAGUGGGGAAUAUGGCACAACGGGGGAAACCCUGAUGCAGCAACGCUUGGGCGUGAGGACGGCCUUCGGGUUGUAAACCGCUUUCAGCCAUGACGCGGUAGUGGCAGAAGAAGCACCGGCUAACUACGUGCCAGCAGCCGCGGUAAUUC
RNAcentral lists this ribosomal RNA (404 nucleotides) under uncultured bacterium. Its description in RNAcentral is "partial 16S ribosomal RNA". It matches the Rfam family "Bacterial small subunit ribosomal RNA", at positions 28 to 526 of the family's 1533-position model. The record is from RNAcentral.